GACGAACGCUGGCGGCGUGCUUAACACAUGCAAGUCGAACGGUGAAAGCGGAGCUUGCUCCGCUGGAUCAGUGGCGAACGGGUGAGUAACACGUGGGCAACCUGCCCCUCACUUCGGGAUAACUCCGGGAAACCGGGGCUAAUACCGGAUAUGACCUCCUUGGGCAUCCUUGGAGGUGGAAAGUUUUUCGGUGAGGGAUGGGCCCGCGGCCUAUCAGCUUGUUGGUGAGGUAGUGGCUCACCAAGGCGACGACGGGUAGCCGGCCUGAGAGGGCGACCGGCCACACUGGGACGGAGACACGGCCCAGACUCCGACGGGAGGCAGCAGUGGGGAAUAUUGCGCAAUGGGCGAAAGCCGGACGCAGCAACGCCGCGUGCGGGAUGACGGCCUUCGGGUUGUAAACCGCUUUCAGCAGGGAAGAAGCCGCAAGGUGACGGUACCUGCAGAAGAAGCACCGGCUAACUACGUGCCAGCCGCCGCCGUAA
Molecule: ribosomal RNA, 485 nt
Filed under: uncultured bacterium
Lineage: Bacteria
Description: partial 16S ribosomal RNA
Rfam family: Bacterial small subunit ribosomal RNA
Source: RNAcentral